CAGGAUUUCCCAGGCUCUAGCUUGCACUCAAUGGCAGGAGCUCUGGCUCUGUUUACCAUGCCCGCAGGGACUUCAAGAGUCCCCAUUUGAGACCCAUGCUGGCCACCUGGGCCACCAUUUGUCUCCCCUCCUGCUCCAGGUGUAUGGGGAAGACCUGUCUGCCUUCACCUAGGCCAUGUCUUGAUGCUGCCCAAGAAGCCACAUCUUGUGCACAUCUGGUGCAGGGGAUCCUUGCACCAGGCUGGGCAUGAGCCAAGGUUCUCUUCCACGAGCGGAUCCUUUUCCAAGUGGGAACGCCUGGAGAGCCAGGGACUUGAAUCUUUUGGGAGGUCCCCAGGCCCACCCAGUUGCCCCUGGCCACACAGCAAGAAGUGAGUGGUGGCUGAGGGAGUGAAGUCUUAAUCCUGCCUCCUGGCAGAUCAAUUGGAUCCUCAUAGGAGCAUGAGCCCUACUGUGAACUGCACAUAUGAGGGAUCUAAGGGUCUGGCCAAGUUGCCCGGAUUGAGCUGGAACUUGCUGCAGGUGUGCGCUGCCAUGUCUGGUCACUCUAACUUCUUCUGGAAACUUCUGUAGUGGAUCCUGUGUGCACCACCCAGACUACCACCUCAGGACGGGACUCUCGUUCCUCUGCUCAGAGAACGGAAAUUGACACUCACGGAUGAAUCUCACUGGGAAAAUGUCCUGGCUGAAAGGAGCUUCCUGGGGCCUUCCCACUGGAGAAGGGGAGGAGGGUAACAGAGGCCUCCACACCUUUCUCAAUACAGAGCAAAUUUGAAGGGUCAUCUCCUCUCCAGGGCUCUGUGUGGGGUUGGGAAGAGACAUACAUUGAUUGAUUGAUUGGUUUUUAAUUUUUUUUUUUUUGGUACUGGGGAUCGAACUUGGGAUCUUGCACUUGCAAGGCAGGCAGCAGAACCACUGAACUAAAUCCCUAGCCCUUUAAAAAAAUUUUUUUUUGAUUGAUUAGUUUUUUGAGAUAAGGUUUCCUUAUGUAGUUCAGACUCACCUUGAACUCACCAUGUAGCCCAGGCUGGCCUUGGAUUUGCAGUGAUCUUCCUGCCUCAGCCUCCUGAGUACUGGAAUUAUAGGUAUGCACCACCACAUCUGGCUGGCUGAGAUCUUUAUUUUAAUGCAAAGGCCCCCCACCCCCACCCUCCUACUGGUGCUGAACCCAAGCACUCUUCCCAAGAAAUUUUCCCAACCAAUGAUACCUUCCUUGACCUUGCAGGCCAGGGUGGACUCCUUGAUUGCUUGCUCUUCCAAAAGGUAUGUCUCCCUGUAUGUUUUACAUCCACCCAUGCUCUCUGGCCUGUGUCUGCCUCCUCCAACCACUGUAAUGCCCACAAGGGUGGGAGCCAGAUCUGAUAUUAGUUACCGCUGCAUUCCGCCCCACUGGCACAUGGUUGAGAAAUAUUUGUUGAGUGAACAAACAAUGUUGUUAGCCAUCUAAUCUGAUUCCGUAGGAGGCCAUCAACUGUACUCAGGGCUGCAGUGUCUCAUUCUUUCAUUCAAUAAAUAUUUACAAAGAAAUUG
Molecule: long non-coding RNA, 1530 nt
Filed under: Heterocephalus glaber (naked mole-rat)
Lineage: Eukaryota; Metazoa; Chordata; Mammalia; Rodentia; Bathyergidae
Description: lncRNA (ENSHGLG00000040224.1)
Source: RNAcentral